Molecule: ribosomal RNA, 491 nt
Filed under: uncultured bacterium
Lineage: Bacteria
Description: partial 16S ribosomal RNA
Rfam family: Bacterial small subunit ribosomal RNA
Source: RNAcentral
AGUGAACGCUGGCGGUAGGCCUAACACAUGCAAGUCGAACGGCAGCACAGUAAGAGCUUGCUCUUACGGGUGGCGAGUGGCGGACGGGUGAGGAAUACAUCGGAAUCUACUUUUUCGUGGGGGAUAACGUAGGGAAACUUACGCUAAUACCGCAUACGACCUACGGGUGAAAGCAGGGGAUCUUCGGACCUUGCGCGAUUGAAUGAGCCGAUGUCGGAUUAGCUAGUUGGCGGGGUAAAGGCCCACCAAGGCGACGAUCCGUAGCUGGUCUGAGAGGAUGAUCAGCCACACUGGAACUGAGACACGGUCCAGACUCCUACGGGAGGCAGCAGUGGGGAAUAUUGGACAAUGGGCGCAAGCCUGAUCCAGCCAUACCGCGUGGGUGAAGAAGGCCUUCGGGUUGUAAAGCCCUUUUGUUGGGAAAGAAAAGCAGCAGGUUAAUACCCCGCUGUUCUGGCGGUACCCAAAGAAUAAGCACCGGCUAACUUCGU